ACUCAAAGGAAUUGACGGGGGCCCGCACAAGCGGUGGAGCAUGUGGUUUAAUUCGACGCAACGCGAAGAACCUUACCUGGGCUCGAACGGCUUCGGACAAUUCGUAGAAAUAUGGACUUCCCGCAAGGGACCGGAGUCGAGGUGCUGCAUGGCUGUCGUCAGCUCGUGUCGUGAGAUGUUGGGUUAAGUCCCGCAACGAGCGCAACCCUUGUCCUGUGUUGCCACCCGAAAGGAGCACUCUCAGGAGACCGCCAGCGAUAAGCUGGAGGAAGGUGGGGAUGACGUCAAGUCCUCAUGGCCUUUAUGUCCAGGGCUACACACGUGCUACAAUGGACGGUACAAAGCGCUGCAAACCCGCGAGGGGGAGCCAAUCGCAAAAAACCGUUCUUAGUUCGGAUUGCAGGCUGCAACUCGCCUGCAUGAAGCUGGAAUCGCUAGUAAUGGCGUAUCAGAAUGAUGCCGUGAAUACGUUCCCGGGCCUUGCACACACCGCCCGU
Molecule: ribosomal RNA, 497 nt
Filed under: uncultured bacterium
Lineage: Bacteria
Description: partial 16S ribosomal RNA
Rfam family: Bacterial small subunit ribosomal RNA
Source: RNAcentral